RNAcentral lists this ribosomal RNA (238 nucleotides) under uncultured bacterium. Its description in RNAcentral is "partial 16S ribosomal RNA". It matches the Rfam family "Bacterial small subunit ribosomal RNA", at positions 539 to 776 of the family's 1533-position model. The record is from RNAcentral.
CGUUGUGCGGAAGUACUGGGCGUAAAGCGUAUGCAGGCGGAUCGCUAAGUCAGGGGUGAAAUCCCGAGGCUCAACCUCGGAACUGCCUGUGAUACUGGUGAUCUUGAGUCCGGGAGAGGUGAGUGGAACUGCGAGUGUAGAGGUGAAAUUCGUAGAUAUUCGCAAGAACACCAGUGGCGAAGGCGGCUCACUGGCCCGGUACUGACGCUGAGAUACGAAAGCGUGGGGAGCAAACAGG